GCCCUCCUUGCCUUGCAGGCUGGCUUGUUCGUGGAGCAUUACCUGGACGCCAUACCCUCGCCGACCGGGAGCCAUGUGACCUGGAGGCUUUCAGCCUCUGGACCCGCUCUGGCAUCGUUUCUUCACUGCGGUCAAGAUGCCUGUACGACGAUCCAAGUUGAAUUCAGAUGGUGCAUCCACACCCAGAAGGUAUUGGAUAUUUGAAAACAUCAAAAUAUGACUAAUACAAAAUUGGAGCCACAGAACUGGUGUCAGUACUACAACUGCACUUGAACCUAUGAUAUAGAAGCAUUCAUAACUGAUUUGCAGGAGUAGUUUGGAAAAGUUUGGAAAUGCUGGCUAAAGAAGUCUGAUUAUGCUGUAAGCAGAGCUUGAUGGGAGAUUCCUGUCAGAAUCCAGGAGACCAGAAUGCUGACAGGAAUGCUGGUCUCCCAGCUGAAUUUUUCCUGAGUCUCAAAAUAGACUCUGGACCUGGCCUGGACAUAUCAGCAAUGACGAAAAUGUUAAAAAUUUAAAAACGAAUCUUAACCAGUCUAAAUAUUUCAUCUGGCAAAACAGCAACCUCCACUUCGUAAAAACAACUGGAAUCUGUCA
Fukomys damarensis (Damara mole-rat) is the source of this 594-nucleotide long non-coding RNA. RefSeq lists it as uncharacterized. Lineage: Eukaryota; Metazoa; Chordata; Mammalia; Rodentia; Bathyergidae. The record is from RefSeq and is a predicted model, not a curated record. The transcript is spliced from 5 exons.